Long non-coding RNA from Zea mays, 1930 nucleotides. RefSeq lists it as uncharacterized. The record is from RefSeq and is a predicted model, not a curated record. Lineage: Eukaryota; Viridiplantae; Streptophyta; Magnoliopsida; Poales; Poaceae. The transcript is spliced from 2 exons.
CAGAUUUUGCAUAGUGUCUGAAUUCUAAAUCAGUGUUGGGAGUGCUGUUUGGGGAGCUUGUUCUGCUUAAUCAAUAAGGUUUUGGACUGAAGUUUUUGUAGAAAGUUUGAAGACCAUAUGUUAGUGAAUAAGUGCCUUUAAGUAUGUUGGGUGUGAUCCCACACCAAAAGUGAAGUAAUGGCUGUCCAAAGUUGGACUUUCAGUCUGCGGUGACAGAAGGUUAUUCAGUCAACUGUAGCUUUGGUCCAGUGUGAUUUUCCAAAUUUUUGGAGCUAUUUUGUGACUAAUCCUUGGAGUAUUAAGCCAUAUCAUUAUAAGCAGAGUUGAAGAACAUAUAUUAGUGUGCAAGUUGAUGUGGGGAGGUAGCUCUGUCUCUAUGAAGAAAUGGGAGCAAAAGAAGGAUGAAUCUGGCUCUGCAGUCGAACUGAAGAAGUUCAGAGCAGUUAGUGUAGUCUGAAAUUUCAGACUAGAAAUAGUAACUGGCAGAGACUGAAUCUCAGUGUUGGUGCUCAGUUUAGAGUCCCUGUGCAGCCAAUCCCUGUGGUUUUUGAAUUGAGAGUUUUGUAGCAAAAUGGGAGAUCAUGUAUAGGUGCAUAAAUUCCUUUAAGUCAUCUGGACCUGGUACUACAUAAACUUAGGAGAAAAGGGGUCGCAAAAUGGCUCUGUCAGACGUUAAUGGCUGUUGAUUGGUUCAGAUAAGGAAGUUCGAGCUCAGAGUAAUGUACCCCACUUGUGGGUACUCUAGAUUUGAUUAUAGGUCUUUUUAGCCUAUACAAACUACAGUAACCGGGAAAAGCUAUGUUUACUGAAUAAUCUUGGGGCAAUGAAGUGGGCAUGUUGUGUUAAGAAUAAAGAGAAAGGGGGAGCUGAACUUGAGGUUUCAGUCGAGUAAAACAGCAGGAGCAGUUUCAGAAUAAUCUGAUGGAAGUAUCUCCAUCCACCAAAUUGAUAUAGGGAAUUCUAGGAUAUGCCAGCCCAAAAGAGACUUAUGAGAAAGGAAAGUUUAUUGUCAAAAAUUCACCACCCCGAGGAUAGAUGCAGGAAGGGUGUAAAGCCUAUCUCUUGGAUGAUUCAGCUGCUUCACUGUUGAUGAGGUGUCAUACAUGCAGUAAAGGUGUGCUGGACUUUUUCCCUGAGCUUCCACCUUGCGUGGUAAACAUGCAGGUGUGUGUUGGGGAUUGUUAAUUCGCAUUUUCCCUCUGAAAUAGCCCCAGCCCGACCUCCAUUAAGCCAACUCUUGUUAUGCUAGUUUGGAGCCCAAACUGAAUUGCUUGUGCUCUCGACGAUUUCCUGGUUUCCCCACUGUGCCUCCCUCGUGCAGCAGCAGUAGCGCUCGGCUCAGCUCCCUUCCUUUAUCACACAAAGCCCCACUUCGUCGUGCCUCCACCCUGCUUGGCUUUCCCCAUCGUACGUGGCUGCUGAGCACCUCGCCGAGGCUACAGCAGCGCUCAGCACAGCUCCGGCCCGCCGGCGGUUUUCUCUACUCGACCUCCCUCAUCGCUGCAUCUGGACAUACGCUGCUGCUCGCCGCGCUCCCUGGUGUGCGAGCUUGCCGGCACCCAGUCCUCCUCUCCACGUCAGAGUCCUUACCUCACCAUCAAGACAUCGUCGUCGCGCCGUCGUACGUUAUCUAGCUCCUUAGCACAGCACCGUCCUCCAACUCGACGUCUUUGCGUCCGUAGAACUUGCUGUCGUCGUUGGGUAACUGCACCUUGGUGAUUGGCAUGGUUGCGUGUGUGUUUGGAUUAAUCGUAGCAUAAUUUUAUGUCCCGGGAAAGAUUGUCCGCGACUGUUUAUAACUGGCUUGUGGUUCACACCAUCAGCUUGGGCUUUGUGAUGUGCGUGUGAAUCGUAGUGGUGCGAUCAGUGGAUGAAAGGAAUUAGUUGGUGAAGAAACAAGUUUACAUAAAAGACCAUUGAUUUUGGUAUA